RNAcentral lists this ribosomal RNA (492 nucleotides) under Cercopithecus erythrotis (red-eared guenon). Its description in RNAcentral is "partial 16S large subunit ribosomal RNA". It matches the Rfam family "Bacterial large subunit ribosomal RNA", at positions 1854 to 2569 of the family's 2925-position model. Lineage: Eukaryota; Metazoa; Chordata; Mammalia; Primates; Cercopithecidae. The record is from RNAcentral.
CUGCCUGCCCAGUGACACACGUUUAACGGCCGCGGUACCCUGACCGUGCAAAGGUAGCAUAAUCACUUGUUCUUUAAAUAGGGACUCGUAUGAAUGGCAUCACGAGGGUUUAACUGUCUCUUACUUUCAACCAGUGAAAUUGACCUGUCCGUGAAGAGACGGACAUGAAACAAUAAGACGAGAAGACCCUGUGGAGCUUCAAUUUAUUAGUACAACUAAAAACAACACAAACCAACAGGCCCUAAACCCCUACAUCUGUGCUAAAAAUUUUGGUUGGGGCGACCUCGGAGCACAACCAAACCUCCGAAUAAUCCACGCUAAGACUACACAAGUCAAAGCAAACUAACACCUACAAUUGACCCAAUAAUUUGAUCAACGGAACAAGUUACCCCAGGGAUAACAGCGCAAUUCUAUUCUAGAGUCCAUAUCAACAAUAGAGUUUACGACCUCGAUGUUGGAUCAGGAUAUCCUAAUGGUGCAGCAGCUAUCAAG